CAGUAGCCGCGGGAAUACGGAGGGUGCAAGCGUUAAUCGGAAUUACUGGGCGUAAAGCGUGCGUAGGCGGUUCGUUAAGUCUGUUGUGAAAGCCCCGGGCUCAACCUGGGAAUGGCAAUGGAUACUGGCGAGCUAGAGUGUGUCAGAGGAUGGUGGAAUUCCCGGUGUAGCGGUGAAAUGCGUAGAGAUCGGGAGGAACAUCAGUGGCGAAGGCGGCCAUCUGGUACAACACUGACGCUGAGGCACGAAAGCGUGGGGAGCAAACAGGAUUAGAUACCCCAGUAGUCCCUGUCUCUUAUAA
Molecule: ribosomal RNA, 301 nt
Filed under: uncultured bacterium
Lineage: Bacteria
Description: partial 16S ribosomal RNA
Rfam family: Bacterial small subunit ribosomal RNA
Source: RNAcentral